CGCCCCUGGCGCAAAUCACCACCAUCAUAGCGCACAUCACAGGUUUAUGAAACUCAUGCUCGUUUGGCAAUAGAAGUUGGAGACUUGGCAGAAUAUAAUCAGUGUCAAUCACAGUUGAAAACACUUUAUGCGGAGGGAAUAAGGGGUGCCACAUGGAAUUUUCUGCUUACAAUUUACUGUGUUGUCUUGCACGCCAACAAUAGCAGAGAUCUGGUAUCAGCAAUGUCAAGUUGAAACCAAAAAGGAUGAGGCUGUAAAACAUGCUCUUGCAGUUCGUGCAAUUGUCACUUCAGGAAAUUAUGUCAGGUUCUUUAGACUUUACAAGACUGCACCUAAUCUUAACACCUGUCUUAUGGAUCUUUAUGCUGAGAAGAUGCGGUACACUGCUGUAAGAUGCGUGUCUCGUUCAUGUCUCCCUACAGUCCGUGUUUCAUACAUUGCUCAGGUUCUGGGCUUCACCAAUGCUUCGCCUAUAGAAACAAC
Molecule: non-coding RNA, 483 nt
Organism: Camellia sinensis
Lineage: Eukaryota; Viridiplantae; Streptophyta; Magnoliopsida; Ericales; Theaceae
Source: RefSeq, a predicted model, not a curated record